AUUGAACGCUGGCGGCAGGCCUAACACAUGCAAGUCGAACGGUAACAGAAAGCAGCUUGCUGCUUUGCUGACGAGUGGCGGACGGGUGAGUAAUGUCUGGGAAACUGCCUGAUGGAGGGGGAUAACUACUGGAAACGGUAGCUAAUACCGCAUAACGUCGCAAGACCAAAGAGGGGGACCUUCGGGCCUCUUGCCAUCGGAUGUGCCCAGAUGGGAUUAGCUAGUAGGUGGGGUAACGGCUCACCUAGGCGGCGAUCCCUAGCUGGUCUGAGAGGAUGACCAGCCACACUGGAACUGAGACACGGUCCAGACUCCUACGGGAGGCAGCAGUGGGGAAUAUUGCACAAUGGGCGCAAGCCUGAUGCAGCCAUGCCGCGUGUAUGAAGAAGGCCUUCGGGUUGUAAAGUACUUUCAGCGGGGAGGAAGGGAGUAAAGUUAAUACCUUUGCUCAUUGACGUUACCCGCAGAAGAAGCACCGGCUAACUCCGUG
RNAcentral lists this ribosomal RNA (490 nucleotides) under uncultured bacterium. Its description in RNAcentral is "partial 16S ribosomal RNA". It matches the Rfam family "Bacterial small subunit ribosomal RNA", at positions 30 to 507 of the family's 1533-position model. The record is from RNAcentral.